RNAcentral lists this ribosomal RNA (1101 nucleotides) under Escherichia coli. RNAcentral describes it as "partial 23S ribosomal RNA". It matches the Rfam family "Bacterial large subunit ribosomal RNA", at positions 296 to 1406 of the family's 2925-position model. Lineage: Bacteria; Pseudomonadati; Pseudomonadota; Gammaproteobacteria; Enterobacterales; Enterobacteriaceae. The record is from RNAcentral.
AGCCCAGAGCCUGAAUCAGUGUGUGUGUUAGUGGAAGCGUCUGGAAAGGCGCGCGAUACAGGGUGACAGCCCCGUACACAAAAAUGCACAUGCUGUGAGCUCGAUGAGUAGGGCGGGACACGUGGUAUCCUGUCUGAAUAUGGGGGGACCAUCCUCCAAGGCUAAAUACUCCUGACUGACCGAUAGUGAACCAGUACCGUGAGGGAAAGGCGAAAAGAACCCCGGCGAGGGGAGUGAAAAAGAACCUGAAACCGUGUACGUACAAGCAGUGGGAGCCUCUUUAUGGGGUGACUGCGUACCUUUUGUAUAAUGGGUCAGCGACUUAUAUUCUGUAGCAAGGUUAACCGAAUAGGGGAGCCGAAGGGAAACCGAGUCUUAACUGGGCGUUAAGUUGCAGGGUAUAGACCCGAAACCCGGUGAUCUAGCCAUGGGCAGGUUGAAGGUUGGGUAACACUAACUGGAGGACCGAACCGACUAAUGUUGAAAAAUUAGCGGAUGACUUGUGGCUGGGGGUGAAAGGCCAAUCAAACCGGGAGAUAGCUGGUUCUCCCCGAAAGCUAUUUAGGUAGCGCCUCGUGAAUUCAUCUCCGGGGGUAGAGCACUGUUUCGGCAAGGGGGUCAUCCCGACUUACCAACCCGAUGCAAACUGCGAAUACCGGAGAAUGUUAUCACGGGAGACACACGGCGGGUGCUAACGUCCGUCGUGAAGAGGGAAACAACCCAGACCGCCAGCUAAGGUCCCAAAGUCAUGGUUAAGUGGGAAACGAUGUGGGAAGGCCCAGACAGCCAGGAUGUUGGCUUAGAAGCAGCCAUCAUUUAAAGAAAGCGUAAUAGCUCACUGGUCGAGUCGGCCUGCGCGGAAGAUGUAACGGGGCUAAACCAUGCACCGAAGCUGCGGCAGCGACGCUUAUGCGUUGUUGGGUAGGGGAGCGUUCUGUAAGCCUGCGAAGGUGUGCUGUGAGGCAUGCUGGAGGUAUCAGAAGUGCGAAUGCUGACAUAAGUAACGAUAAAGCGGGUGAAAAGCCCGCUCGCCGGAAGACCAAGGGUUCCUGUCCAACGUUAAUCGGGGCAGGGUGAGUCGACCCCUAAGGCGAGGCCGAA